RNAcentral lists this ribosomal RNA (459 nucleotides) under uncultured bacterium. RNAcentral's name for it is "partial 16S ribosomal RNA". It matches the Rfam family "Bacterial small subunit ribosomal RNA", at positions 338 to 795 of the family's 1533-position model. The record is from RNAcentral.
CCUACGGGGGGCAGCAGUGAGGAAUAUUGGUCAAUGGCCGGAAGGCUGAACCAGCCAAGCCGCGUGAGGGAGGAAGGCGCAGAGCGUCGCAGACCUCUUUUGCCGGGGGACAAAAGGCCGGACUCGUCCGGUCCUGAGGGUACCCGGAGAACAAGCAUCGGCUAACUCCGUGCCAGCAGCCGCGGUAAUCCGGGGGAUGCGAGCGUUAUCCGGAUUCAUUGGGUUUAAAGGGUGCGCAGGCGGGCCUUUAAGCCGGCGGGGAAAUCGCGGGGCUCAACCCCUCCGCGCCGUCGGAACUGGGGGACUUGAGGGCGGGGGAGGCAAGCGGAAUGCGGGGUGUAGCGGUGAAAUGCAUAGAUAGCGCGCAGAACCCCGAUUGCGAAGGCAGCGUGCCGUGCCGCCACUGACGCUGAGGCACGAAAGCGCGGGGAUCGAACAGGAUUAGAUACCCCAGUAGUC